CAGCAAGCCGUUCCCAGCUUAACUAAUACUAGAAUAAAACAAAUAAUAAUAAAGCAUCAAGUAACGGUAUAUUUCGUUUCAUAUGCGAAUUGUAGAACCAAUACUACAGAUACUUCACUAUUUAUUUAUCCGGUAGCAGUCUACCAUUGAUUACCUUCUAGACACCGUUGACGAUUCACAUACCGAAGCGGAGAAAAUUAAUAAAUCAGAGUUUUAACUCAAAGGAAGCUUCUAUGAUCCCUUCCAAUCUCGUACUUCUAUUCAAGGGCCUAUAUAUCUCUUGAUAUUUAAUUGCUAUGGCAGCUUCCUUAAACCAAGCAACAUAAUGAUCAAACAAAAAGCAAAUUGUUAGGCAAUUUUAAGAUCAUUUCAUUAAAAUGUACGAAAUAAUUAGUUCAUAUUCGAGGCUUAUAUCUUUCUCAUUAUCGAACAUUUUCCAUCGUUCAUCUAUCUACUUUGCUAUUCUAGUUAACAGUGGUUACUUGUGCAUCUAAAACGAUCGGUGAAACGAAGAUAGAAACGAGAAAAGAAUUCAAUAAGAUGAGAAAAAAUAAUUAAAACAAUUAG
Molecule: non-coding RNA, 567 nt
Organism: Schizosaccharomyces pombe (fission yeast)
Lineage: Eukaryota; Fungi; Ascomycota; Schizosaccharomycetes; Schizosaccharomycetales; Schizosaccharomycetaceae
Source: the annotation of a GenBank genome assembly